This 530-nucleotide ribosomal RNA is filed under the name Anastrepha atrox. RNAcentral describes it as "partial small subunit ribosomal RNA". The stretch from base 398 to 530 matches the Rfam family "Bacterial large subunit ribosomal RNA", at positions 2473 to 2605 of the family's 2925-position model. Lineage: Eukaryota; Metazoa; Arthropoda; Insecta; Diptera; Tephritidae. The record is from RNAcentral.
AAACAUGUCUUUUUGAUUUAUAUUUAAAGUCUAGCCUGCCCACUGAGUGAUUUUUAAAUGGCCGCAGUAUUUUGACUGUGCAAAGGUAGCAUAAUCAUUAGUUUUUUAAUUGAAGACUGGAAUGAAUGGUUGGACGAGGUAUAAGCUGUUUCAUAUAAAUUUAUUAUAGAAUUUUAUAUUUUAGUUAAAAAGCUAAAAUUUUAUUAAAAGACGAGAAGACCCUAUAAAUCUUUAUAUUUAAUGUAUUAUUUAAGUUUUAUAGAAACUUUAAACUUUUAUAAUAUUAAGUAUUUUGUUGGGGUGAUAUUAAAAUUUAAUUAACUUUUAAUUGUUAAAGUUCAUUAAUUUAUGAUUAAUUGAUCCAUUAAUAUUGAUUAUAAGAUUAAGUUACUUUAGGGAUAACAGCGUAAUUUUUUUUGAGAGUUCUUAUCGAUAAAAAAGGUUGCGACCUCGAUGUUGGAUUAAGGAUUGAUUUUGGGUGUAGCCGUUCAAAUAUUGAGUCUGUUCGACUUUUAAAUUCUUACAUGAUC